CUCAUGGGGGGUUCCUCCACGGUUUGCAUUUCUUCUACUAGCCUCUCAUGGGGAAUUCCCUCCAUGGUUUUACAUUUGGGGUAGAAACCGUUUUUUAUUUAGGGCAAGGAGGAAUAAUAGUGACUUUUAUUCCGCGGGUAUCUCUUUUGUUCUGGCCUGCCUCACCUUUUAUGGCGGUUCCUGGUUGGGCUCAUAUCCACCCCUUCUUUCUCUUCACGGCAGAAUGCAGACGGAGGAAAGGGGUCUCAAUUUUUCUACUUGUUACAAAGCAAGUCCCCCCGGUAGUAGUGUGUCACCGCCGGCCCCUUUUUCGGGCCCCUCUUUGGGAGGGUCCCCUGUCAAGCAUCGUCCAUGGAGCAACACUAUAAACAUCGGCAAGCUCGCUUACCACCACCAGAAUUACUACAUUUUGAGACUUAGAAAUCGGGGAAUCAGUCCAAGAUCACAGCAAUGUCGCACAGAAGUACCUUUAAAAUUGAAAACAUAUACAACGAGGACAAACAGAAACCAAAGAUCAAGAAUCUGAAGAAUAUUCCCGGAGUUGCAGAGGUUGAUGUUGAGUUUGGAUCGAGGACUGUAACCUUUACGCAUGAUCAAAGAAUUACAGUCGACAGGCUAGAAAGAGAGCUGAGAGAUCAAAACCUAAAUCCCUCUCUCAUCAGGCCAGCUCAAUAUUAACUGAUGUAACAGAUAGCACUCGAAGAUAUGGGAGAUUCUCUGAUGAUUGUGGCACCGGACUUGAAGCGUUUUUGUUAGGUAGUUUAUAUCACAGUAAUAAAAUAGAGCAGCUUCCUCUGCUGCUUCUUACCAAUCAGACUCUUUCCUUUUCUUAUUGUAAUGUUACAGAUCAGAUUUUCUGAAACGAUGGUUUCCAUUGCAUGGAUAACUAUUUGAAGCAGCACCAAAAGUUACUUUUUUGAGAAAAAAAAUACACUCCUUUUGUUCAGGUU
Cryptomeria japonica (Japanese cedar) is the source of this 950-nucleotide long non-coding RNA. RefSeq lists it as uncharacterized. NCBI's taxonomy places the organism in Eukaryota, Viridiplantae, Streptophyta, Pinopsida, Cupressales, Cupressaceae. The transcript has 3 exons. The record is from RefSeq and is a predicted model, not a curated record.